This 246-nucleotide long non-coding RNA is filed under the name Lathyrus oleraceus (garden pea). RNAcentral describes it as "Pisum sativum (pea) long non-coding RNA (PSAT_LNC023867)". The record is from RNAcentral. Lineage: Eukaryota; Viridiplantae; Streptophyta; Magnoliopsida; Fabales; Fabaceae.
GCACCUUUCCUUUUCAUACUAAUCAAAUACACAUUUUGUUGUAAUUCUUAUAUACAUUUUAUGGAACAUCUAAUGGCCACCUUAGGAAGUAGUAUGGAACUCGUGUAACACUUGAGGAAUGAAAGUUAAUUGAGAUGAAAUUACCAAUCUUCCUUCAUAAUACAACAUUCCCUUCCUAUAUUGGAAACCCAGUCUGCUCCAUGCAUUCUUCUGCACAUCCUCAAUGAUCUUUUGUAACACAUUGUC